GCGAACGCUGGCGGCGUGCUUAACACAUGCAAGUCGAACGGGAAAGUCCUCGGGGCGAGUAUAGUGGCGUACGGGUGAGUAACACGUGGGUAACCUGCCCUCGAGACGGGGAUAACCUACCGAAAGGUGGGCUAAUACCGGAUAAGACCACAUUCACGCAGGUGGAAGGGGUCAAAGAUGCCCUCUGUAUAUGGUAUCGCUUGGAGGAUGGGGCCCG
This 217-nucleotide ribosomal RNA is filed under the name uncultured bacterium. Its description in RNAcentral is "partial 16S ribosomal RNA". It matches the Rfam family "Bacterial small subunit ribosomal RNA", at positions 29 to 233 of the family's 1533-position model. The record is from RNAcentral.